UACAGAGGGUGCAAGCGUUGUUCGGAAUUAUUGGGCGUAAAGCGCGUGUAGGCGGCUUUGCAAGUCGGGUGUGAAAGCCCUAGGCUCAACUGAGGAAGUGCAUUCGAAACUGGCAGGCUAGAGUACUAAAGAGGGUCGCGGAAUUCCCGGUGUAGAGGUGAAAUUCGUAGAUAUCGGGAGGAACACCGGUGGCGAAGGCGGCGACCUGGGUAGAUACUGACGCUGAGGUGCGAAAGCGUGGGGAGCAAACAGG
Molecule: ribosomal RNA, 253 nt
Filed under: uncultured bacterium
Lineage: Bacteria
Description: partial 16S ribosomal RNA
Rfam family: Bacterial small subunit ribosomal RNA
Source: RNAcentral